CAGCAGCAGCAGACGAGCCAGGCUGGGCUGGGCUAUUUGUCAGGAACACAGGCUGCAGGGGCCUCUUACAUAUGCAGGGGUCGUAAGAGAAACUCGAGGCCCCCUGGAAGAGGGACCAUGCUGGGACGUGAGGGGGUGAGCCAUUACCAGACCACAGACUAUUUGGCCAUCGUGGGGGCUGAAGGGCAGAAGGCAGGGCAGUCUUGGGGACUCAACAUCUUCAUAUUAUGAUUGGUUUCUUGGCUGACGGACUUGAAAGCAAACAAGCAAAGACUUUAAUCCCACCUUUUAUGUCCUCCACAGACCAGUGUCCCCCAGACAGGGCCUCGAUGAGCCCACUGCUUGAGGCUUCCACAUGAGCCCCUCAACCUUCUGCCGCUCAGCCUCCUUCGGUUUUCUCACCAGGGCCAGCAGCUCAAAAAACCCCUCUGUCCCUCCUAGGGGUCUGGAUCCCAGAGCCCAGAACUCAGGGCCUGCAGCUGACCCCUUCCGGCUUUGUCUUUCCCCACCCACUUUCUGUGGUAAUCAAUAUUAUCAAACAACAGGGACAGACAUGCAAGGCUCCCAGCCUGGCCUGUGGCUUAGGAUCUAUGGGCUUGCAAAGGGGUGAGCAAAGCUCUGUGUUCAGAAAGCUCCCCGAUCUUGCACACAGAAGUGUUUCUUGAGGAAUGAGGGGAGGCCCAGGCACAGGAUGCUUGCCUAGCACACUCAAGACCUAGCUUCCCUCCAUCUUUGGUAACAAAUGAAGAGUGAUUUGAAUACAUAGAGAUGUGACAUCCCUGUGUAGCCUUCAAUGUUUUAGGAAGCAUGACCCUCACUCAGUAAUAAAUAAAACUGUAAAAAGUAA
RNAcentral lists this long non-coding RNA (847 nucleotides) under Rattus norvegicus (Norway rat). RNAcentral's name for it is "long non-coding RNA NONRATT017898". Lineage: Eukaryota; Metazoa; Chordata; Mammalia; Rodentia; Muridae. The record is from RNAcentral.